Molecule: ribosomal RNA, 507 nt
Filed under: uncultured bacterium
Lineage: Bacteria
Description: bacterial SSU rRNA
Rfam family: Bacterial small subunit ribosomal RNA
Source: RNAcentral
GAAGGUCCUCUGGAUUGUAAACUUCUUUUAUUUGGGAAGAAAUGCAUUUUUUCUAAAGUGCUUGACGGUACCAGAUGAAUAAGCACCGGCUAACUCCGUGCCAGCAGCCGCGGUAAUACGGAGGGUGCAAGCGUUAUCCGGAUUUACUGGGUUUAAAGGGUGCGCAGGCGGAUAUGUAAGUCAGUGGUGAAAUCUCCGGGCUUAACCCGGAAACUGCCGUUGAUACUAUAUAUCUUGAAUGCUGUGGAGGUAAGCGGAAUAUGUCAUGUAGCGGUGAAAUGCUUAGAUAUGACAUAGAACACCUAUUGCGAAGGCAGCUUACUACACAGAUAUUGACGCUCAUGCACGAAAGCGUGGGGAUCAAACAGGAUUAGAUACCCUGGUAGUCCACGCCCUAAACGAUGAUUACUCGACAUACGCGAUACACAGUGUGUGUCUGAGCGAAAGCAUUAAGUAAUCCACCUGGGAAGUACGAUCGCAAGAUUGAAACUCAAAGGAAUUGACGGA